RNA transcript from Acipenser ruthenus (sterlet), 3583 nucleotides. It is a transcript of the gene named phospholamban, with no coding region annotated. The transcript is spliced from 2 exons. NCBI's taxonomy places the organism in Eukaryota, Metazoa, Chordata, Actinopteri, Acipenseriformes, Acipenseridae. The record is from RefSeq and is a predicted model, not a curated record.
UCUAGAAAGCCCUGAGAGACUGGAUGUGAAUAGCAAUGUUGAUAAUAUAAAUAACUCAAUACCUGGAAUGAAUUCCUGAGGAAGCUGAGUCCACCAGUGUAUGCUGAAGAGCCUUGGCAUCUCAUUGUGUCCAAUCAAAGGGCUGUGUGUCUGCAGAGACUCCUCCCCUAAUUGGGGCUUUGUUUUUCCCCGCCCCCUGAUUUUGUUCCCAUAAACUUUGUGACAUAUUCAGAAAAGUUGCCAGAGAAACUCCAGAUCAGUUUGAUCAAGAAGUUUUCCCACACUCCAAGAGAGUCUUUUGUCUGAGACCUGUUGAUCGCUACAGGAGCUACAUCUGCCAGGUCUAAAUUGGCUGAAUGGACAGCAGGAUGGAGUGAUCUGCCAAGAGCUCUCCUUGCAGUCUAGAACAACCCUUCUUGGGAAGACCCCCCUGCAGUGUACCUUCAGAAGCCCACAGAGACCCAAGUCUUGCCAGAAUGGAUCUGACUACCAACAAAGGCCUCAACCUGCUGCUCAACUUCCUCCUCAUCGUACUGAUGCUGGUACUGAUGCUCAUUCUAGUGAAGCUACUGUGAUUGGUCAACUGACAACUCAACACUGCCAUCUACCAAUUAUGACUUAGCUAACACAGUAGAACUACCUGCACAGGUUCAAGCACCAAGAAGAAAAUCAGACACACCCAAAGACACUCACUAGUUGAAAUAUCAAGUAGGUUUAUGACUAAACUAAAUGUGGUAAAAAAAUAAAAUAAAAAAGGCCACAAGAAAAAGGCAUGUUUUUUGGUGGUGGAGCAGCAUUUGGGUUUAAAUGGAGCAGAAAGUUGGUGGCUUGGUUUUAUAGCAAACAGUAUAGCUGUUGUCAAGCAAUGGUUUUACAACCACUUUACAAUGAAUAGAGCACUUUUUUCUACAACAGAAUGAGUACACACUGUAUUUAUUCAUACUGCAGUAGAAGACUAUGCAAUCUAUUUGAUUGAUUUGCUAUGGCCAUAUCACAUCAGCAUACUGUAUAAUAGAUACCUGAAUACAAUCAAUUAUACAAUGUUAUGUAACAGCAUCUAUUUGUUAAAAGAAAAAGUCAGCAAAGUGUAAGAGUCUCCAUCUAGUGGCCAGUAGCAGUACAAGCAUAAUUUGGGUUACUGUAUGUGUAAACCCCUUUCAUUAACUUGCCAUUAAAUCAAGCCCUAGACACCAAGAGUUUUAAGAUUUGAGCCGAUGUACAUUUAAAGUUACUGUUACAGCACUGGGAUGGUUGAUGGCAUCUGGUUAUUACCAAGCAUGAUGUGAUAAACAUAAAAAAGUGGUAUUUGUUAAUGUUAACUUGUGAAAAAAAGUGUCUGUCAAUCUUUUACCUGUUGAAUUUAGUUUUGAAGAUUGUUAGUAAUUCAUCCGAGGCUGUUCUUGCUUAGCUGAUUUCUGAAGAAUAAGCAAGACUUGAUGCAGAUCAAAAGGUCCUUUUCACUUUGUCAUUGAACAUGCUGUAUCAUCUAUAUGUGGAUACAGUUACUGAUUGAAAAAAAAAUCUAAAACAAAUUCUUACUGGUUCCUAUUUCCCAGCAGUGGCUUACUUAUCAAACGCUGCGCUGCGGGCAAACAAUGCGAGCACUGCACAGCUAAGAUGAUAAUCGCAGCAGCUGAAUUAACUUUAAGAGACCCCUUCCCCCAAGAGCUCCUGUGCAGGUCUACACACGACGAGAGGCUGAGUCAGUUUGCUUCAUUCAUAACUAACAUGGAAUUGUAACCUGCAGCUCUAGAACACCAAAGAGCCAUCUGAAUUGAUGUCUGUGGUUUGCUAGAGCCACUAGAUGUCAUCAUUACAAAAUAAAUACUGUACACUGCAUGGCUUGCUAAUGGUCAGAGCAGCUCAGCUAGUUUCUGCAUGGAAAGCAGACCACAUCAGACAAUGGGCAGUUCCACUCCUGUAGCACACAAAUCUGAUUUUAAGAUUAGUUGCAAACCCAAUGAACUAAGGACCUGCCCCAUGCUAUUUAAGGGCACCCUACUCUAUUUUUUUUCAGCUUGUUUCCUAUAACUGGACUCGGCAGAUCCCUUUGUAGUGCCUAACACUAAUCUGGAAGCCGUUGCCAGAACAGCUUUUAGCUCUCCAAUUAUCAAAAUCCAGAACCUUAACGAGAUUUUACUAGUUCAUCUGGUAGCUUCAUUCAACAGCACAGAGAUUGUAAAGGACUUAAAAGGCAUUAAAGAUGUUAUGUACAAUGUAACUGCUGUGCAAAAUAGAGUACUUAUUAUAGGUCUGUCAGUUAAAGCUGACCUACUGUAUAAUGGGCCCUAUUGAAAGCCUUUUAUGAAUAUAAAUUGUGUUGGAUAUUCAUGAAAAUGAUUUUGUUUAACCACUUAAGGAAUCCAAUAGUGGUUGUUUUCUUCUUGGAGAACAGCAACGUGAUCUGAUAACUUAAGCCUAGUAUUCCAGGACAGGUCACGUUGCAGGAUUCAUAUAUAUAUAUAUAUAUAUAUAUAUAUAUAUAUAUAUAUAUAGUCACAUGCAGUUUAACAAUCCUUGUUUAAAGACCCUCUACAAGCUAUGCACAGGUUUAUACAGUGUUUGUACAACAAUGUAGAUUAUAUCCCAAUAAUUGCCUUAGCUGUAUCGGUUCCAACCUAUUGGAAGGAAUUACAAUUAGCAAAGGCACCGCUCAGCAACAUCUACUCAGUGUCAGAAAUCAUUAGCAUCUGGCCAUCUCCAAGCAGGACAUUUAACAAGAGAGAUCAACUGAUCUGAUCUUAUUCUUAACUACACUGAUAUGCAGGCCAACUUCAUACAGCUGUUCAUGUUUUAGACAAAAAAAUAUAUAUUUACAGCUGGGUCAACUAACAAUAUAUAAGACUUAGAUUGGGCUUGCCUUUAGCACCAAUAGUAUUUAACAACUAGCCAACUGACAUCAUAAUCACAGAGCUAAAUGAGCCUUUGAUAUAUAUUAACUUAGAAACAUUUAUCACUCAAGUGAAGAAACACUUGAGUCUGAGGGCUACCAUGUAGUUAAUGAGGCAACAAAAAGAAUGAACAACUGGACAAGCUUCUGUAAAGAGGCUCAUGGAUCUCCACCCACAAGAUAUUUAAAGGCUUAAAUAACUCUUAGAUGGUCACUAGUGGUAGAAAAAAAUUUAAUUGGGUAUUAAGCAACCCUCUGUAGGUAAGCAAGAAUAUUCCUGCAAUCAGCAGCAGGUGGCAGUAUGACCAGCGUGUGUCACAUAUUACUCUCUGCAUGUUUAGCAUGUAAACACCGCUCACCUGACAAUGUCGUUCAGAACAGGAGUGCAUUACAGGCUAAUUUAUCAAUUUUGCACUUUGUUUCAGCUUUUAAUUGUUUGUUUUUUUAAAUGGUAAAAUUUACAGCUUUAAUGCCAAAGAUUCAAAUGGAACCCUAUAAACAAUACAGAAAUGCUUCUACAGCUUGGGGUUUUUGUAAUUUCUUUGUAUACACUAUCUACUAACACUGCAUUCUAAAACAAGUCAUUCAUAUUUCUAAUUGCUGUAUACUAGGCAGCUUGUCACCACUUACUUUUAAUACAAUGUUCAACAAAACUUUUUCUGUUACAUUAAACCAUUUUAGUAGAAUGUUUAA